AAUAUUACUAACAUUCCACCAUCGUGAGAAGCAUUAUUGUAAUAAAGAUUCAUUAACUAAGAGUAGAACCCCUUCAUGACUUCGACAUCAUAUGUCAACUCUCUAAGGCCGUCCUAGAUACGCUUGAUUCCCCUACCAUCACACUUAAUAGCUUAGGUUAGUUUGAUCCAAGAAAACUAUGAUGGGUCAUCAAAUUAAUCCCAAGGCUAUUAGCGUCAUUCCGUUUAUGAGACUAUCUCGACGGCGGAGUGUUGCAGAUAGAGUUAGACCAAAAUCAGAUGAUGCAAUGGAGAACAUUUUUGAUUAAACCCAAAGAAUGUGUAUGUGUCCUCUACAUGUGUUGAUGGAAUAGUGUACGUCGGCAGGAUAGAAUUGCGACAGACUGACACCGAAGAUGAGCUCCUCGAUGGAAUAAAAGAGAAGAUAUGCAGUAGUUGAGUAAUUGAAUGUGGUCUGUAGUUGGAGUGCGGGAAUGAAUCAUGAUGGAUGAGUAAAGCUUACCGGCGCCAAUGAAUUAUGGAACGAAGACGAUGAAUUAGUAGAGCUUACCUUCAUCAUCGUCGUUCCAUAACUCAAUGGCUCUGUUGAUCUUUACUCAUCUUUCGUGAUUCAUUUCUGCACUCCAAAUACAAACCAUGAUCAAUGACUCAACCAUCCAUGUCUAUUACUCUAUUUUUCCGGUGAGCUCAUCUCCAUCGUUAGUCCGUCAUAAUUCUAUCCCAUUGAAGUACACUUCUCCAUCAGCACAUGUGGAGAACAUAGACUC
This 766-nucleotide small RNA is filed under the name Arabidopsis thaliana (thale cress). RNAcentral describes it as "ATSL110460". Lineage: Eukaryota; Viridiplantae; Streptophyta; Magnoliopsida; Brassicales; Brassicaceae. The record is from RNAcentral.